This 1026-nucleotide long non-coding RNA is filed under the name Marmota monax (woodchuck). Lineage: Eukaryota; Metazoa; Chordata; Mammalia; Rodentia; Sciuridae. The record is from RNAcentral.
GUCCUCUGCCUCUCUGCCAGCUCGUUAUGGUACCAACCAGGCACCAGGCAGUAGGAACGGAGCCCAGGAGUCCCCAGCGAUGCCUACAGAGGGAACAAUGGAGAUCAUUCGUCCCCUGGUGUCCUCUGCCCAGCCAGCCCUCGGGUGGCAAUACCUGCACACAGACGUAGGUUCCUCCAUCCCAGCCUCUCCCCACAACCAUCUGCUUCUGGCGAUGUCACGUGGCGCCCCUCCUUUGUGCCUGUGCUCUGGUCUUGAAGCUGACAGGCUGUCUCCCCUGCACCUGCUAGGUUCCCACUUCAGUGCCACAUGGACCCAGGACAAAAGCCUCCCAGGGGUUUGAGUAGUUGGCAGGGCUUGGGGCUAGUAUUUGAGUUUGCUCUGGUGACCAUGGGCAUCCACGUGGGCCUACAGCGUCAGCUUUAGAGAAAGGCUGGGGGCCAGGAUCUGAGACAGAACGGCCUGAGUUCCAAGCCUUGGUCCUGCUUCCUACCAGCCACGUGCUGUGGGUAGCGGGUCAAGUCUCUUUGUGCCCCAUCUCCUUGUCUGGAGGUAGGGAAUAGAGUGUGCGUGCCUCACUGGACUUUUGUUGGGGAGGAAGGAGAUCAGAGCUGCGGUUACUCUUGUAACCAAUGGUAGCCUCCGCCAAGGGCCUCUACUCCGACUGUACCAGGGCCUGAACAUCUGGGAUAUUGUAUUUGUUCAUUGCUAUAAUAAAACGUGUGAGGGUAGGUACUUAUAAAGAAAAGAGGUGUAUUUAGCUCACAAUUUUGGAGGUUCAAGGGCCAGCAGUGGCAUCAGCACAGCUGUGGUGAGUCUUCAUCGUGGACGGCACCACAAGGGCAGGAGGGUGAGUGGCAGUGAGGGAGGGCACCACAGGACAGGAAGCCAGCAAGGCAGGGGUCUUUUGUAACAACUUGCUCUUGCAAGACCUCACUCAGGGCCUCAGGAGAACUGCAUCAUCCCUUCGAAGGGCAUGCCCCCGCCCGGCCCCUCGCCACCUGCCGAAGCUACCACACCGAGGAC